This 71-nucleotide transfer RNA is filed under the name Scleropages formosus (Asian bonytongue). It matches the Rfam family "tRNA". From Rfam's summary of the family: Transfer RNA (tRNA) molecules are approximately 80 nucleotides in length. The record is from Rfam by way of RNAcentral. Lineage: Eukaryota; Metazoa; Chordata; Actinopteri; Osteoglossiformes; Osteoglossidae.
GUAUUGCUGGUGUAGUGGUAUUGUGCAAGAUUCCCAUUCUGGUGACCUGGGUUCGAUUCCUGGGCGGUGCG